GUCGAGCGGUCCGACGCAAGUCGGACAGCGGCAGACGGGUGAGUAACACGUAGGGAUCUGCCCCAAAGUGAGGGAUAACCCCGCGAAAGCGGAGCUAAUACCGCAUAGUCCCGCAAGGGUAAAGGGCGUAACUGCCCGCUUUGGGAUGAACCUGCGUCCUAUCAGCUAGUUGGUGAGGUAAUGGCUUACCAAGGCUAUGACGGGUAGGGGGUGUGAGAGCACGACCCCCCACAAGGGUACUGAGACACGGACCCUACACCUACGGGUGGCAGCAACCAGGAAUAUUGCGCAAUGGGCGAAAGCCUGACGCAGCGACGCCGCGUGGAGGAUGAAGGUUCUCGGAUCGUAAACUCCUUUUUACAGGGAUAAAUAAAAUGAUAGUACCUGUAGAAUAAGCACCUGCAAACUACGUGCCAGCAGCCGCGGUAAUACGUAGGGUGCGAGCGUUAUCCGGAUUUACUGGGCGUAAAGAGUAUCGUAGGCGGUUUUUCAAGUCAUGUGUUAAAGCCCUCUGCUUAACGGAGGAUGUGCACGUGAUACUGGGAAACUUGAGUUAGAUCGGGGGUACUGGAAUUCUCGGUGGAGGAGUGAAAUCCGUUGAGAUCGAGAAGAACACCAAGGGCGAAGGCAGGUACCUAGGUUUUAACUGACGCUGAUGAACGAAAGCUAGGGGAGCGAAAGGGAUUAGAGACCCCUGUAGUCCUAGCUGUAAACAAUGCCUACUAGCUGUUCCGACUUACGUCGGUUGGCG
RNAcentral lists this ribosomal RNA (751 nucleotides) under uncultured bacterium. RNAcentral's name for it is "bacterial SSU rRNA". It matches the Rfam family "Bacterial small subunit ribosomal RNA", at positions 61 to 843 of the family's 1533-position model. The record is from RNAcentral.